CAACGUUACGGUAGGAAAACGUGACGUACAGCUCGGAGCUCUUGGAAUGACACCAGCGCGCUGGUAGCAGCAAGUUGGGCGCUAGGACAGAGCCUGUGCACCGGCCGGUUUGGCGCCGUCACGUCGCUCUUCUUCAUAACUCCGUUGCAUGGGAGUCUACAGCUGAGGACUACUGAUCCGGGUUUAGACACCACGGCAUUUCGCCCUCACACCUGGAAGCAUCUGCAUUCAGGGCAGGAGUACUUUGAAGUACCGGAGCCUCACCACCAUGUCCAGUGUGCAGAGGGUCGGCAGCCCGGCCAACCUCGCCGAGGCGAAGAGGAGCGAGCUGCGGAUGAAGGAGAAGAAGUGCUCGUGGGCAUCCUACAUGACCAACUCUCCCACGGUGAUCGUGAUGAUCGGCCUUCCUGCCAGAGGGAAGACCUACAUGUCCAAGAAACUCACUCGCUACCUCAACUGGAUCGGUGUCCCCACCAAAGUGUUUAACCUGGGCGUGUACCGGAGGGAGGCGGUCAGGGCAUACAAGUCCUACGACUUCUUCCGCCAUGACAACCAGGAAGCCAUGAAAAUCAGGAAACAGUGUGCCCUGGUCGCCCUGCAGGAUGUGAGGGCGUAUCUGACAGACGAAGGAGGACAGAUCGCUGUGUUCGACGCAACAAAUACGACGAGGGAGAGACGAGACCUCAUUCUCGCUUUUGUCCAAGAAAAUGCAUUUAAGGUGUUUUUUGUGGAGUCAGAGUGUGACGACCCAGAAGUCAUUGCUGCCAACAUUCUGGAGGUAAAGGUUUCAAGCCCUGACUACCCGGAGAGACACAGAGAGCGAGUGAUGGACGACUUUCUGAAGAGAAUCGAGUGUUACAAGGUCACCUACCAACCGCUAGACCCUGACCAAUAUGACAAGGACCUGUCCUUCAUCAAGGUGAUGAACGUGGGCGUGAGGUUCCUGGUGAACCGGGUCCAGGACUACAUCCAGAGCAAGAUCGUGUACUACCUCAUGAACAUCCACGUGCACUCCCACUCCAUCUACCUGUGUCGCCAUGGCGAGAGCAACCACAACGUAGAGGGCCGCAUUGGGGGGGACUCCGAGCUGUCCCACCACGGUAGACUGUUCUCCCAGGCUCUGCGGAGCUUCAUCGAGCAGCACCAGCUGUGGGACCUGAAGGUGUGGACCAGCCAGUUGAGGAGGACCAUCCAGACGGCCGAGGAGCUCGCUGUGCCCUACGAGCAGUGGAAGAUCCUCAACGAGAUCGAUGCUGGGGUGUGUGAGGAGAUGAGCUACGAGAUGAUCCAGGCCUCCUUCCCGGAGGAGUUUGCUCUACGGGACCACGACAAAUACCACUACCGUUACCCCGGGGGAGAGUCCUACCAGGACCUGGUCCAGAGGUUGGAGCCGGUGAUCAUGGAGCUGGAGCGUCAGGGCAACGUGUUGGUGGUCUGCCACCAGGCCGUCAUGAGGUGUCUGCUGGCCUACUUCCUGGACAAGAGUGCAGAGGACCUUCCCUACAUGAAAUGUCCUCUCCACACCGUCCUAAAGCUCACCCCCGUUGCAUACGGUUGCAAAGUGGAGAUGUUUUACCUGAAUGUGGAGGCAGUGAACACGCACCGGGACAGACCUCUUUGUGUCCCGGUCUCCCCGCAGGCCAACGAUCCCAGGGACACCGUUCCCAUCCUGAGACGCAAUAGUUACACGCCACUGGCCAGUCACGACCAGGUCAAACGGCCCCGGCUGUACAGCGCCGGGAACAGGCCCUGGCUGCCCUCGGCCCCCACCCCCUCUGCUCUCAUGCCGGAGGGACAGCAGAGCCAAGUUAGUGUCAGAGUCACCCCCAACCUCCCACACCCCCCACCUUCACCAUACCAGACCAGUCCGCUGUGCAGCCCCAGGCCUUCGCUCGUCUCCGCGGGUUCACGUCUGUCUUUCUGGUGCAUGGUGCCCUUGCUUCACAGCUCUGCUCGGCCUAGCAUGAUAGCACGCCUACCGUUAGCAUUAGCAGGUCUAAUGCUAGCUUUAGCUUCACAUCUACUUGGCACACUCAUACACACACUAUAUAUUACCCAUUUGUAUAUGGGAAAAGAAGAAUGGAAACUAUUACAAUUCCAGAUAUCUUGCAUAAAUUGCAAGAUGCAACAUCGGACACGAACAGUCACACAGACACAUAUGUAUAAAUAUAUAUAUGUAUAGAUAUAAAUGUUAUAAAAAAUAAAGAAUCAUUACCAAUUUGGUGUUGAGAGGUGUGCCGUUUCCAUUUGUGUGUUUCGGAAGAAACAGUGGCAUCGUCUUGUGAGUCCAGUGCUUCAGUCGUUCUCCAUAUCUCUAUCUAUCCCUCUGUCUCUCUCUCUCUCUGCCUCGUCCCCUUCUCCUGUCUGUCUCUUCACAGCCUUGGAUAGGUGUCAAGUGUCUGACUGCCUGUGUGAAGGAAUCGACUCGGACAGCCCAGAAGAGGCUAGUGACAGUGUCGAGUUCUGAGUGACCAUGGCACCCAAGACUCCCAAGCAAACGAUGCAUCACGUCAACGUAACCUGCUGCCUUGUCUAAUUUAUUCACACGCCGUAACAAACAAAAUCUUCAGAACACAUUCAUUGCAAAAUGUAUUUCUGCCUAUCCGAUUUUUUAUUUGUGUUUUCGAUUAGGUGUGUUGAUCAAUUAAUUCUAAAAAACUUUAGAAUUAAUCGAAUUGAAAAAAUAUAAACGUAUCCUCAUAUUAAUUACCUUUGAUAUGAUUUCAAAAUAAUAUCUUGGCUCGAAACUGACCAUGUGUAAUAAAUGAGGUCGGUUACAUUAAAGUCCCUGCAUCCCGGGACCGGGGAAUCCAACCAAAGCCAACGGCUGUAAGCUUCUCCUGCAUGCGUGCCAAUACAAGGUCAUUGAACCAGUGAGAUGUAGCAGAGCUAGCACAUAGUAGUGUCUCAUUCUGCCUUACGGCUAUACGCUGCAUGCUACCAUAGCAUCCUCUUAGCACAAUUAUGUACAAUUAAUUAACCCAGUUCACCAACUGUUAUUUCACGAUGUGUGAUUGUAUAAAUAUAAAAAAUAAGUUAAUGUUGAUGCAUUUAUUUGAUGUGUUUUAACUUUGUAUUUAUCUGCUGUGGCCGAGGUUGGACACAUCAAUGAUAACUGGUUCUGAGGUAAAUCUUGGUCAAUCGCAAAGUUGAUAUUUAUGAUAUUUUUGACGGUAUGAGGUAUUUUUGAAAUGGGGGAAAAUGGAAAACAAAGGAUUUAAACCACGUUCUCACAGUUUGUAAAGGUUUAAGAGAGAUGUGAUAGGUCUAUGGCAUUGUAAUAUACAAUAUAGUAAAUAAAAUGAAUAAAGUCCUGCUCUAAGUCGA
Molecule: RNA transcript, 3327 nt
Organism: Gadus macrocephalus (Pacific cod)
Lineage: Eukaryota; Metazoa; Chordata; Actinopteri; Gadiformes; Gadidae
Gene: pfkfb2b
Gene name: 6-phosphofructo-2-kinase/fructose-2,6-biphosphatase 2b
Exons: 16
Source: RefSeq, a predicted model, not a curated record